GACGAACGCUGGCGGCGUGCUUAACACAUGCAAGUCGAACGAUGAUGCCCAGCUUGCUGGGUGGAUUAGUGGCGAACGGGUGAGUAACACGUGAGUAACCUGCCCCUGACUCUGGGAUAAGCGUUGGAAACGACGUCUAAUACUGGAUAUGACUACUGGUCGCAUGGCCUGGUGGUGGAAAGAUUUUUUGGUUGGGGAUGGACUCGGGGCCGAUCAGCUUGUUGGUGAGGUAAUGGCUCACCAAGGCGACGACGGGUAGCCGGCCUGAGAGGGUGACCGGCCACACUGGGACUGAGACACGGCCCAGACUCCUACGGGAGGCAGCAGUGGGGAAUAUUGCACAAUGGGCGAAAGCCUGAUGCAGCAACGCCGCGUGAGGGAUGACGGCCUUCGGGUUGUAAACCUCUUUUAGUAGGGAAGAAGCGAAAGUGACGGUACCUGCAGAAAAAGCACCGGCUAACUACGUGCCAGCCGCCGCAGUAA
RNAcentral lists this ribosomal RNA (483 nucleotides) under uncultured bacterium. RNAcentral describes it as "partial 16S ribosomal RNA". It matches the Rfam family "Bacterial small subunit ribosomal RNA", at positions 28 to 523 of the family's 1533-position model. The record is from RNAcentral.